RNAcentral lists this ribosomal RNA (467 nucleotides) under uncultured bacterium. RNAcentral's name for it is "partial 16S ribosomal RNA". It matches the Rfam family "Bacterial small subunit ribosomal RNA", at positions 28 to 507 of the family's 1533-position model. The record is from RNAcentral.
GAUGAACGCUGACAGAAUGCUUAACACAUGCAAGUCAACUUGAAUUUGGGUUUUUAACUUAGGUUUGGGUGGCGGACGGGUGAGUAACGCGUAAAGAACUUGCCUCACAGCUAGGGACAACAUUUGGAAACGAAUGCUAAUACCUAAUAUUAUGAUAAUAGGGCAUCCUAUAAUUAUGAAAGCUAUAAGCGCUGUGAGAGAGCUUUGCGUCCCAUUAGCUAGUUGGAGAGGUAACGGCUCACCAAGGCGAUGAUGGGUAGCCGGCCUGAGAGGGUGAUCGGCCACAAGGGGACGGAGACACGGCCCUUACUCCUACGGGAGGCAGCAGUGGGGAAUAUGGGACAAUGGACCAAGAGUCUGAUCCAGCAAUUCUGUGUGCACGAUGAAGUUUUUCGGAAUGUAAAGUGCUUUCAGUUGGGAAGAAAGAAAUGACGGUACCAACAGAAGAAGUGACGGCUAAAUACGUG